This 390-nucleotide ribosomal RNA is filed under the name Blastocystis hominis. RNAcentral describes it as "SSU rRNA". It matches the Rfam family "Eukaryotic small subunit ribosomal RNA", at positions 552 to 952 of the family's 1831-position model. The record is from RNAcentral. Lineage: Eukaryota; Bigyra; Opalinata; Blastocystidae.
AGGGCAAGUCUGGUGCCAGCAGCCGCGGUAAUUCCAGCUCCAAUAGCGUAUAUUAACGUUGUUGCAGUUAAAAAGCUCGUAGUUGAAGUGUGGGUGAUCGCUGUUGUGAGACUUCGGUCUCUCGACAGUAAGUCACCCCCUUCCAGUAUCCAGUAGUGGGUAUUCAGUUACUUACUAUUGUGUGUUGGUCCUUUACUGUGAGAAAAUUAGAGUGUUCAAAGCAGGCGUUUGCUUGAAUAGAUUAGCAUGGAAUAAUAAUUGAAGGCUUUCGUGUUCGAUUUGAUUGGUUUGUUCAUGGAAGCAAGGUUAAAAGGAACAGUUGGGGGUAUUCAUAUUCACUAGUUAGAGGUGAAAUUCUCGGAUUUAUGGAAGAUGAACAAGUGCGAAAGC